Molecule: ribosomal RNA, 253 nt
Filed under: uncultured bacterium
Lineage: Bacteria
Description: partial 16S ribosomal RNA
Rfam family: Bacterial small subunit ribosomal RNA
Source: RNAcentral
UACGAAGGGGGCUAGCGAUGCUCGGAAUGACUGGGCGUAAAGGGCGCGGAGGCGGCUUACAUAGAUAGGCGUGAAAUUCCUGGGCUCAACCUGGGGACUGCGUCUAAUACAUGUAGGCUUGAGUGUGAAAGAGGGUCGUGGAAUUUCCAGUGUAGAGGUGAAAUUCGUAGAUAUUGGAAAGAACACCGGUGGCGAAGGCGGCGACCUGGUUCAUUACUGACGUUGAGGCGCGAAAGCGUGGGGAGCAAACAGG